UACGGAGGGGGCUAGCGUUGUUCGGAAUUACUGGGCGUAAAGGGCGCGUAGGCGGCACUGUUAGUCAGGCGUGAAAGUCCUGGGCUCAACCUGGGAACUGCGCUUGAUACGGCAGAGCUAGAGGAUGGAAGAGGCUCGCGGAAUUCCCAGUGUAGAGGUGAAAUUCGUAGAUAUUGGGAAGAACACCGGUGGCGAAGGCGGCGAGCUGGUCCAUUACUGACGCUGAGGCGCGACAGCGUGGGGAGCAAACAGG
This 253-nucleotide ribosomal RNA is filed under the name uncultured bacterium. RNAcentral's name for it is "partial 16S ribosomal RNA". It matches the Rfam family "Bacterial small subunit ribosomal RNA", at positions 524 to 776 of the family's 1533-position model. The record is from RNAcentral.